UGCAUAGCCGACCUGAGAGGGUGAUCGGCCACACUGGAACUGAGACACGGUCCAGACUCCUACGGGAGGCAGCAGUAGGGAAUCUUCCGCAAUGGGCGAAAGCCUGACGGAGCAACGCCGCGUGAGUGAUGAAGGUCUUCGGAUCGUAAAACUCUGUUAUUAGGGAAGAACAUAUGUGUAAGUAACUGUGCACAUCUUGACGGUACCUAAUCAGAAAGCCACGGCUAACUACGUGCCAGCAGCCGCGGUAAUACGUAGGUGGCAAGCGUUAUCCGGAAUUAUUGGGCGUAAAGCGCGCGUAGGCGGUUUUUUAAGUCUGAUGUGAAAGCCCCCCGCUCCAACCGGGGGAGGGUCAUGGAAACUGGGAGACUUGAGUGCAGAAGAGAAGAGUGGAAUUCCAUGUGUAGCGGUGAAAUGCGUAGAUAUAUGGAGGAACACCAGUGGCGAAGGCGGCUCUCUGGUCUGUAACUGACGCUGAGGCUCGAAAGCGUGGGGAGCAAACAGGAUUAGAUACCCUGGUAGUCCACGCCGUAAACGAUGAGUGCUAAGUGUUGGAGGGUUUCCGCCCUUCAGUGCUGCAGCAAACGCAUUAAGCACUCCGCCUGGGGAGUACGACCGCAAGGUUGAAACUCAAAGGAAUUGACGGGGGCCCGCACAAGCGGUGGAGCAUGUGGUUUAAUUCGAAGCAACGCGAAGAACCUUACCAGGUCUUGACAUCCUUUGACCACUCUAGAGAUAGAGCUUUCCCUUCGGGGACAAAGUGACAGGUGGUGCAUGGUUGUCGUCAGCUCGUGUCGUGAGAUGUUGGGUUAAGUCCCGCAACGAGCGCAACCCUUAUUGUUAGUUGCCAUCAUUUAGUUGGGCACUCUAAGUUGACUGCCGGUGACAAACCGGAGGAAGGUGGGGAUGACGUCAAAUCAUCAUGCCCCUUAUGAUUUGGGCUACACACGUGCUACAAUGGACAAUACAAAGGGCAGCGAAACCGCGAGGUCAAGCAAAUCCCAUAAAGUUGUUCUCAGUUCGGAUUGUAGUCUGCAACUCGACUACAUGAAGCUGGAAUCGCUAGUAAUCGUAGAUCAGCAUGCUACGGUGAAUACGUUCCCGGGUCUUGUACACACCGCCCGUCACACCACGAGAGUUUGUAACACCCGAAGCCGGUGGAGUAACCUUUUAGGAGCUAGCCGUCGAAGGUGGGACAAAUGAUUGGGGUGAAGUCGUAAAAGG
RNAcentral lists this ribosomal RNA (1224 nucleotides) under Staphylococcus aureus. RNAcentral describes it as "bacterial SSU rRNA". It matches the Rfam family "Bacterial small subunit ribosomal RNA", at positions 280 to 1496 of the family's 1533-position model. The record is from RNAcentral. Lineage: Bacteria; Bacillati; Bacillota; Bacilli; Caryophanales; Staphylococcaceae.